AUUGAACGCUGGCGGCAGGCUUAACACAUGCAAGUCGAGCGGGGUGAUGGUGCUUGCACUAUCACUUAGCGGCGGACGGGUGAGUAAUGCUUAGGAAUCUGCCUAUUAGUGGGGGACAACAUAUCGAAAGAGAUGCUAAUACCACAUACGUCCUACGGGGGAAAGCAGGGGAUCACUUGUGACCUUGCGCUAAUAGAUGAGCCAAAGUCGGAUUAGCUAGUUGGUGGGGUAAAGGCCUACCAAGGCGACGAUCUGUAGCGGGUCUGAGAGGAUGAUCCGCCACACUGGGACUGAGACACGGCCCAGACUCCUACGGGAGGCAGCAGUGGGGAAUAUUGGACAAUGGGGGGAACCCUGAUCCAGCCAUGCCGCGUGUGUGAAGAAGGCCUUAUGGUUGUAAAGCACUUUAAGCGAGGAGGAGGCUCUUUUGGUUAAUACCCAAGAUGAGUGGACGUUACUCGCAGAAUAAGCACCGGCUAACUCUGUGCCAGCCGCCGCGGUAA
RNAcentral lists this ribosomal RNA (503 nucleotides) under uncultured bacterium. RNAcentral's name for it is "partial 16S ribosomal RNA". It matches the Rfam family "Bacterial small subunit ribosomal RNA", at positions 30 to 523 of the family's 1533-position model. The record is from RNAcentral.